UUGGGAUGAGCACUGAGUGUUAUAUGUAAGUGAUGGAUCAUGGGGUUCUACCCCUGAAACCAAUACUACAAGGUAUGUUAACUAACUUGAAUUUAACGAAAAAAAUUUUUUUUCCCUCUGACUAAAAUCAUCUUGUGUCCCCUUUUGAAGCUAUAAUCACCUUUACUUUCUAUUUUAUCUUAAUUAAUAAUAUCUUAUAGAUUUGCAGGCUUAUUUGUGGUUGCAUAUAUAUUAUCUUCUUAAGUGCAUGGGAGUGAGUCACUUAAGAGAUUGUUAGUUUCAAAGAAUGUUGAACUAAAGUAAUAAUAAGAUUCCUAAAUAAUAGAAUUUCACAUAUUCAGAACUUCUUUCGUAAGAGCAUUUGGAAUAUAAGUUGAAUACAUCAAAGUAACCAUAAAUGGGAUGAUUGAAACUAGUUGUGUUUAGAUAUAAAUAACUUGUAGCUUGAAAGCCAGCAGUCCAUCAGUGGCUGGAAAACAUAUCUCUAAGGCUGAAAAAUCAUUUUAUGUUAACCAAUAUUCUGAUGGCAAAAAAAAAAAAAGAUUUAAAUAUUUGUGAGUCCUAUAGCUACUAGUGAUAUGGGUGAUGGGAAAUGAGGAUGUAUUCUUUAUAUUGUUAUGCUUUCAUUCUUCAAACACCUUUCAACUUUUUUAUUCACAUUUUUGUCUAAGAAAACUGCAUAACAUUCAUAGCUGGAAAACUGAAAGAAGGGAAACUCAGAGCAGUGAUUCUUGAUGUUUCCUGGACUUGCUGCAGAAAUUGAUUGCUAUAUGUUAUUCCAUCACACAUCUUUCAACCACUAAAAUAUUUGUCUUUUUGGUGCUUACUCAUGUUUCCAUAUUUCUGGAAUGUUUGUAUAUUACAGCUGACACAGAGCUAAGAAAUUAACCCACCUCACUAUUUUACAAUAGAGAGACUUGUAGAACAAUUUCAAGAAACGUUAUUGCUGUCUUUCAAUAGAGUAUUUUUUUCCAAAAAACGUCAUCAUAAGAAAUCUAGUUAUGUCCCUGCAAGUAAGUAGGUACAUUUCUUGACAGUGUUCCAAUUAUUACUAUUGUCUACAGUUAUAAUGAAGUCAUUGUUUCUAACUGGUGUUAUUUCAACUAAAGCAGUAUCAAUUCUUUGCUGACAUCAAGCAUCUAUGGUUAGCUAUACAGAAUUUGAGUGAUCAGUUCUCUUGUAUGAUUCUCUUUAAUAAAAAAUAAGUCAAGAAUUACAUGGUUAUAGUUAAAUUUAAAAUCAGUUUCAAACUUGUAGAUCAUAAUAGGAUAUUUACAGAAGAAGCUGAUUAAAAAAAAGGCCAUCAGCCAAAGGCUUCCUGAAUAUGAUAUGAAGUUCUGAAAGGUAGAGUGAUUUUCUAUAAGAAAGAAUUGCUUUGAAUGCACUUUCCAACGAAGGCUUUGAUACCUUGCAGUGUACUAGUUGUAAGAUAAUCUGAUCACAAAAAAAGAAAUUCGAUCAUUGUAAUUCCAACUCACAUCAAUAGGAAAUAAAUAUUACUUAUUCUGGAAGUUUGCUGAAUGACAAUAUUUAUUCUAAAUACAGAUAGUUUUGCAUGAACACUAGGGACUGAAUGAAACACUGUUUGCUUACCAUUGAACCAGGCAGAUAUGGAACAAGAGUAAUGACUGAUCGCAAUAGAAGAUAUCUCUAAAAUUAUUCAUGCUUCCAGGAGAAGAAGUCCUGUGGGGAGAUGAGGGAGGGGGAGGAAAUAGGAUCCUCUUAAGACUGUCUUUAGGAAGAAUGAUCAUCCAGCUGCUUGCUCAAUUGUGAAUCAUCUUUUAUUGGAAAAUUUCCUUAAGCCAGUUUAAACAUCAGUAAAGGAGGGUUAAAUGAGCAAUCACAAUACAGCACCUUACCAUGGAGCUGUCAUAUAAUUAAUAUAAAGAAGCCUUGUAUCAAGAUAAAUAAAUAUGGGGAAUAAGAGUUUGGUUUUCAAGAAAUACACUUUGUUCUAGUUCUGAUUUCACAUAAAGGAAAACAGGAGAAGACAUGCUGAGUAUAAUUGAAUCUAGAAUAUUUAUAUAAAGAAAAUAACCAAAUGCAUUCUGUUUGUGUGUGUAGGUGUGUAUAUACCAUGUUUUAAUGAUUCUGUGGUCAUUUUUUAUUUUUAUUUUGAAAAUCAUCUAGAAACUCUGUAUAUGUUUUAAGUACUUCAUUUUACCUCUUUAUCUUUAAAAGAAUUUUCCUGAUCUUUAAAAAUUAAAAAAAAUUCUUAACAUUUAUUUAUUAUUGAGAGAGAGAGAGAGAGAGAGAGAGAGAGCAUGAGCAGGGGAGGGGCAGAGAGAGGGGGAGACACAGAAUCUGAAGUACACACAGAAUCUGCUGAGCUGUCAGCACAGAGCCCGACACGGGGCUCGAACUCACAAACCACGAGAUCGUGACCUGAGCCAAAGUCCGUUGCUCAACAAACUGAGCCACCCAGGCGCCCCAUGAUCUUUAAAAAUUUAAAGCCCAGUUGAAUGAAUAUUUACACUAAAAGUUUAGUGAAAGCCCCAAACCAAAAUUAUCUUUUUUGCAAGUGAUUCAGAUAGAUUUUUCAUGACAUAAAUUAUCUAGAUUUAUAAUACCAUCUAUUCAGUUCUUCUUGAUUUUGUUGAUAAAGUGAAAGAGAUUGAAGUACCUUUCCCAUGCUGUAGAAACCAGUGAAACAUUCAAGCAUGAAAACCAAGGAUAAUACUAUUUAAUUAUGAAAUAACCACUGAGUCAUUAUUAUUCUUCUGAACACUAGUACAAAUCAGAAAGCCUCAGUAAAACCCAGUUUUCUGGAAAGUUGAGAAAAUUGCAUUUGACAUUUUGAUUAUAAAAGUAUAUUGUGAAGUUCAGUGCAAAUGGCACUUGAUUUUGGGCCUGGCUUGGGCUGUAUUUUUCUAAAAAAAAAAAAAAAAUUGUUGACUGGUAUGGAAGCUCAGCCAUCUUGAUAAGACCCUUGAUUUUUAUUUUUUAUUAUUUUUUUUUAAAGUUUAUUCAUUUAUUUUGACAGAGACAGAGAGAGAGAGCAGAGGAGGGGCAGAGAGGGAGAGAAAGAGAGAAUCCCAAGCAGGCUCCGCACUGUCAGCACAGAGCCCUACAUGGGGCUCGAUCUCACAAACAGUGAGAUCAUGAUCUGAGCCAUAAGAGUUGGAUGCUAACGUACUGAGCCACCCAGGCUCACCAAGACCCCGGAUUUUUAUAUAGCAAUGGAACAGUAUACCAUUCAGUAUGAAUUUAAAAAUAACAUUUACCAGUGUGGAAAAGAAAUUGGCAAAAAACCUAUUAACCAUUAGCCAAGCCAGAGAAGGAAUAUAUGCUUAUUUUGCUCUAUUUGCUGCCCAUGUCACUUCCCACUCCUAUCCAGUUUCCACAUUUGCCCUAGGAAGGUGACGCUCAUGGACAGUGUGAAUUUGGCCAAUGGGAGGCACUACCAGGCUAUUGGAGGGCAGGGGGAAGGAGAUGUGAGGUGUUUAUCUUCCACCCCCUCUCCUUCAGCACCACAUUUCUGGCGGUGGCUCCCAACAGGCAGCCCUUUUUUAUGGCUUCAACUCUCACUAGUUACAGGGAUUCUAUUCCCAUCACACUCCUACUUUUCACUUCACCCCAUCUUCCCAGGCUUAAGGGUAAUGAUAGCUCCCCAGUGGCUAAUACUGGGUGCACCAGCUUCCCUUGUUGCUUCCUCUAACCUGCCUAAAUCUCGGAGUUCUCCUUUCAUUAAAGUCUCUGUGCCCAAUUUAUAUGAUUUGAAUUUUAGAAAGGAUGGAGUGGGGCUGGGACCAUGACUGAUACAGGAUUUUUAAGUCUUCCAUUUGGGGAACAAUUAUAGAAGAACAAAGUGAGCAAUAAAAGUCUGUAUGAGGAGGUUAUUUAGUCAAAUUAGUGUCUGCCUAUGGCCAUCCCCAAUGAAUGAGUGUUUAUGAUGGAUUAUGUCUCAGUAUUAUAUCCUUCUUCUCUUUCUGAUCAAGAAAUUCCAUGAAGCCAUCUUAGAAGAUGUUAUUUUCAAAUUCUAUGCUAUGCACAAUUUGGAGAUGUAGUUAAUUCAUUGAAUAAUAUCAUCAAGAUUCACAAAGGCCUUAAUGAUCUGGAAUCCUGGAUAUAUAGAAUUGGAGUUUUCUUGAAAUUGCAUACAAACCACAAUAUGCAUGUAGGGAUGUACAUUCCCUGCAUGAUUUUUUAAAAUCAUAAGUUUAGUGUGAUGCAACAUUGUGAUUUGGCUACUUAGAAAUAUCCAUCACAUUUUAGACACCAUUAAAAGGAUCAAAGACCAGCUAUACUCUGUGUCAAUCAGACCUCAUCUAGAGCCAUGUUUCCAGUUUGGGGCACUACCAUGAACAAGUAAACAAGCAAGAGACCUGUGUGGCAAGUGGUUCCUAGCACAGGGUGUUGAGUGCUGAAUUUUAGUGGCCUGGACUUGACUCUCAGCUCCUUAUUAGCUGUGAAAUUUGGACCAGCUACAUACCUCAUAUUCCUCUUCUCUGAACUGAGGUUCCUGAGACUUUGUGGAUAUUCAUUAAAUGCACAGAAAGGGAUGCCCAGCACAUUCCAAAUACUGUACAAACAAUACCUUGAAUACUACUAACUAGGGUGUGACCGGUCUGGAAAACAAGUUACAUGAGUAACAGUCCAGGAAACUGGGGACAAUUUAGUUUGUGGGAGAGAAGAUGUGUGAAGAAGAGAGUAGUCUUUAAAAAUGUGAAAGCUUGUCCAGUAGAAAAGAGAAUUGCCCUAGGAAGUCAGAAGGAAACUCUCAGUGGAAAUCAUAGGGAUAUAUAAUUUGGCCCAAUAUCAGAAAUACCUUUCUAGUUUCUAGAUGUCCAACAAGGAAACAAGCUAAUGAGCAAUGUGUUUUUAAGUCAUUUGUCAACAAAAGUUAGAUAAUUGUUAUGUGGUAUAUGAUUUAGCAGGAACUCCUGCAAUGAGUAUUGGGGUGGGGGAGGGGCAGGAAGAGGGAAAGGUAACAAAAUGACCUUUAAUUUCCCUUUGGGACUCUAUGUGUAUGUUGGACAGAAUAUCCGGAAAAUGGCUGCAACCUUUGUUUGUGUUCAUGGUUGGCCUUUUUCAAAUCAGCCCUUUGGCACUAGCCCUGAGACAUGUUGUGCCAAGUUGAUAUUGACAAUCCCACCUAUAUUUCCCCAUUCAGAUAGUUUUGCCUGCCAGAGACAUUUUAGGUGGCACACAAUGGUUUCUAUGUCACCAGCUUUGCAGACAUCUUUAAGAAACUGUGCUUUGGGGAUAGGAGCUUACUAACUGGACAAAAUUUCCCUUAAAAGGGAUUCCUUUUCUUGACCAGAAUGAAAAAUGCAUUGUGCAGGGCAAGAAACCUCACAGUAUUUGUGUUUUUCUUUUGGCUCUGCCAGGUAGGUAUUUUUACCCUAAUUGAGUAGGUUCUGGAAAUGUUGAGCACACAUCAGUCUUGUGCCUACCUCUGAUUGCACCACUGGUAGUUGAUAAUUAUAGCUUUUCAAAGAUACUCAGCACAUGCCAUGGUUUGGUGGGAGCAGAGCCUUUGUGUGGAAAAGUGGCUGACAUACUUCUAAGUAAAUCUGUGGAUGUGUUAUGUUUAGAAGGCAGCGGAAGAAGUCUGAGCUGGCAGAGUAAUUGCUGUGUUAGGGCGCCACUGAAGACAAAUAGUGUGCCCAAGACUGUGAAAACCCUGUCUUAUAAAAACUUGUUCCGACAUCAGAGCUCCUACUGGGAUGGAAAUAGCAACGUCUACCAUUUCUGAGCAAAUUUGGAGAAAAUGUCAAUGUAAUAUCUCAGGGAUUAUUCAUUUUUGAAAAAUGAGCAUACUUUCUACUGACCACUUUUUUUUCUCUUUUUUGGAGGGAUGAUGUUAGCUUUUCAAACUUCACUUUCCUCCCUUGUCUGGAUUUUAACUGUCUGUAUGAGUGGUGAUGACAACAAAGUAAAGAAAUCAUCUCACUCAAAUGAGUCUCAGUUGUUUGAGGUCAACAGGUGGCUUCUAGUUAAGAAAUAAAAUUGCUGAAACAAAAUCUGCCAAAAGGCAUGGCCCAGCCGAUUGAAUGGGACGAACUUGGAGGCCCCUUCCAGUCCUGGCAUUUUCUGAUUCCCUGAGCACAGCAAUACCAGUGCCUGUGACAUCUCACAAUGCAUCAGUUGGCUAUUCCAAAUGCCACCUAAAUGAGAAGGGGAAUAGAAUAUUCUUAAAUGAAAAUUCAAUGAAAAGACUAACAGAAAUUGGAUAUAUUUCUUUGGUUCAGUGAGCAUUGCCAGCGGCAAAAAAGAUGUUUAAAAAUAUGUACUUAGGAAAAUGAAAACAAUUUAUUUGUACUGAAUGCUUAUCAUAUGCCAGGUUCUCUAUCAGGCAUUUUAUAUGCAUUAUGGAUUCUAUUAUUCUCACCAUUUUAUGGACGAGGAAACUGAGGAUUGUGGAUCUAAAGUAAUGUCAUGAAGGUGACACUAACAAAUACUCUCCCAGCAACUAUAUCAUCCUGCUUCCCUAAAGCAUACAUGAGUGAUUCACCACAUAGGACAUCUCCUUGGCCCACCAGAUUUCAUAGUGUUGGUCAUAGACCGUUCAGUGCAUGCUGCCAGAACCUCGCUUCAAGUUCAUGUGGGAGAGAAACUGGAAGAACACUCCAUGGGCAGGUGUAGCAUAGAAUACAGGGGAGUUAACAUCCUCAAGGGCCAGCCCUCAACUCAAUGGAAUGAUGGGGGGGGGGUUCUGGGCAAAUACACGGCCUCGUUAUUUCCUGGAAGAACAGUUCUGAGACAAGGUUCCUCAGAAUGCCCCUAGCAAGAGUUAGCCCUCAUUCAAUGCAAAGUACUAACAAACUUAUUUGUGUAUCCUUUAUUAGUAACUCUUCCUUCCUUAUCUUGUUGUCCACAUUCCUCUUUUCUGCUUCUGGGAUCACCUCCCAAAUAAACUUCCUGCACUCAUGUCUUUGUCUAAGGUGCUGUUUUGAGAGGAAGCCAAACUAAGACACUCCCUAGGAAUAUGUAACUGCUAUAUUUGUUAUGAGCAUAAUCCCAGAAAUGAACUACAACGUCCGUUGCACCAGGGGGUUGGCUAUCACAAAGGCUAAGUUUAUUGGGAAAUAUUUCUCUAGCAUCAGAUCUCUAAUUAUACAAUGGAAGUUAAUGAUAAUAGAUUGAAAUUUGCUCUUUGGAAUUCAAUUAUUCAAUAAAAUAAAAGAGAAGCUCCACCACACAUUACCAUGACUUUGAAGUCUUCAAAAUACCUAAUGAUUUUGCAUGAAUAUUUCAAGAUCAUCUUUCUAAGCCUUCCUCCCAUCCCACUCUUGGAAGUGUCUGCUAUUAAUUUCCUUUGUGGUCUUAGAUGAGUCAGAGGUUGUAGAUGAAAUGAUUAUGUUCUCAUUCCUUUUGAAAAUUUCACUCCAAAUCUCUUUCCAUCUACUCCAACCCUAAUAUUUAGCUCUAAUGAAUUAAAACAGCCACAUCGAGGGGCGCCUGAGUUUUAUUGAAUGCAAUGACCAAAGUCAUCACAUUCAUUUUUCUUUCAAUUUCUCGUCAUUCUCUGAAAAUAAGGACAGGUAGAAGUAUCCAUUAGUUGGGACCAUUCUUAGGUGGUGUGUUACAUGUGAAAACAGUACAAUUCUGGACUUAGAGACUUGCAUCCAGCUGUCACAUCAGAACUCUUCCAAUGUACUACUGUUUUUUUUCAUCUCUGCUGUCUUUAGUCUCUGCUCCUCAGAUACCUGUGUGACUUUUCUUCAUACUUCAGGCAGAGUACCAGAGUGGUAUACCUUUUUUUCCUUUGCCUAAUGGAAAGCAGGAUCUUUCUUAAUGACUCUGUUUUUAGUAGAGUAUCCACCAGAAAUUCCACACUUUGUAACAACAACUAACCUAGCUGUAGGAUUUUAUUUGAGGGAGUCUACCAUUCUCCAUUCAUGGCAUAUGACCAUCUGAAUAAAAUCGGGCUAAAAAUAAGAACUGGUUCCUGGAAGCUAAUGCUACCUUGGACAGUUAACAAAAGUCUUGUGAAAUGACUGUGGUGUCAGAACAAACACCAACUAGUAGAUGUCUUCACACUAGAGUGCAUCACCUUGCUGCUAAGCUAUAGAGGAGGCUUAUAUCUGAUUAAAACAUUUGACAAAUUUUUAUGCAGUGCAAGUAACAGAUACGAGUGUGAUAAUCCAACUGAAAAUGGUAACCCCGUUUCUGGCACAGCAGUCUUCCUAGGGUGCUGCUUCCUGCAUUAGCCUUCACCUCUAGGCCUUGGGCAGGAAUCCCUCUGUCUCUGAGUCCCAGUGUUUCCUUUACGAAGCCAGCAUAGUGCUCUGUAUGUUCUGAUGGAAACUGAACAAUAGCAUUAGCUCCUGUAGCUACCUCAUGGGGCUGUUGUGAGGAACAGAGGUGAUAACAUAUGGAGCAUAUGUUCACUUUGGAGGUUAACAGAGUUGUAUUUAAAUCCUGGCUCUAAUUGAGGAAGCCAAGUCAAGUUAACUUCUCAUCUGUAUGGUGAGGCAAGUAGUACCUACUUGGUAGAACUGCCCUGAGACUUUCCGUUCAACAAAUAUGAACACUUGCUAUAUACAAGUUAUUAUUCUGGGUCCUGGGGAUACAACAGAGAACAAAGUCCCUGCCUCCUGGGAUUCAGAAAAGAAAACAGGUAAUUGACUGCAUAAUGUAUUAUCAGGAUUGGAGGCAGGAAGAAGAAUAACAAAGGAUAAAGGGAGAAAGAUAGAGAAAGAGAAUGAGAGUAGCUAUAUUGUAAGGGGUGGUCAAGGAAGGCCUCAUACCUGCAUGAAGUGAAGGGGCAAAACAUGCAGAAAUCUGAAAGAAGAGCAUUUUAGGCAGCAAACCCAGCAAGCGCAAAGGCUCUUUUAUAGACUGAAUUGUGCCCCCUUCCCAAGUACAUGUAUUGAAGCCCUUAACUUUCAACGGUACUGUGUUUGGGGAUAAGCCUUUAGGGAGGAGAUUAAUGUUAAAUGAGGUCAGAAGAGUGGGACUCUAAUCCAAUGGAUUUAUGUCCUUAUAAAAAGGCAGAUCUCUCUCUCUGCCUCUGUCUCUCUCUGUCUCUGUCUCUGUCUCUCUCUCUCGCACAUACACAAAGGAAAGGCCAUAUGAGGAUAUAGUGAGGAAACAAACAUCUAUUUGUUGGGAAAAAAGGUCUCACCAGAAACCAACCCUGAUGGCAUCUUGAUCUUGGACUUCCAGCCUCCAGAACUGUGAGAAAAGAAGAUUAUUUGUUUAAGCUGCUCAGCCUGUGGGAUUGUAUUAUGGCAGCCCAAGCAGGCUAUUAUGGGUUCUGAAGCUGAAAUGACCUUGACACAGGGAGGCAGCAAAGAAGUGAUGGACGAGAAAGCUGGGAAAUCAGGUAGAGAAGAGUCAGAAUCCAGGACACCUUCUCCAGAAUAAGGAGUCAGGAUUUGAUACCAAAGGUGAUGGAUGUCUUUGGAAGAUAUGCUUUAAGAAGUGAAAUGAUGUGACAUAUUUCUAAAAGAUCAAUCUGGCUGCUAUGUUGAAAAUUGACUCUAGAGUAGAGAUGAGUGGGUCCAGAGAGAUGGUGGGAAGUGGUUGAGAUCAAUUUUGGAGAUGGAGCUGACAGAAUUUGGUGAUGGAUUGGAAGUGAAGUGGGCAGAAGUAAGUUGGGAUGACUCACAGGUCAUGGGACUGAGCAGCUGGGUGAAUGAUGGUGUUUUUUGGAGAUUGCUGUUCUUCUCGCGUCUGUAACACCAUUCUCCAGAUCUGGCACAGCUCACUUACCCCUCCUCCAUGUGUUUACUCAGAUGUCACCUUCGCAUCCAGGCUUUCCCUGGCCAGCCUACUUAAAACCACACUGCCUCUUCCAUUUCCCUUCACACUGUACUUUUCUCUAUAGCACUUAUCCCCAUUUAGCAUAUAAUAUAAAUUGCCUACCAGUUUUACUUAUUGUCUUCUGGAGUGGACAGUUUAUGAGAUCAUGUAUUUUUGUCUGUUUUGUUCACUGUUUUUUGGUUCAUUGUGCUUAAAAUACUGUCUGGCACAUAACAGGUGAUCAACAAAUAUUUGUUGCACAUACGGAUGAAUGAAUGAAUGAAUGAAUGAAUGAAUAGGUGAAUCAAUGGGUGAAUCCUGGGGAAUGGAACUCAAAAAUUCUAUCAGGAAGCCUACUAAACAGUCAAGUGGAAACCUCUAGUAGGCUAUUGCCUGUAUGAUUAAAUGAGAUAAGACAUACAAUGGCUAAUAUUGUAUGUACCACUUAGUUAGAUUAUACUAUAAGUAUUAUUGUUCUAUUUGUGAGCGCACUACAUCUACCUCUUACUACACUUUGGUGGACGUUCUCUAAGACCGUGGUUCUUAGUCCUGUGGUUCUGUGGCUCUCUGGGUAUGUGGUUGGGGUGAAAGCAGUGAGGGAAGUAGCUGCUACCCAACCGCCUCCUUUCAGAGCUGCUCAGUCACCACUGUCACACAAAUGGACACUUAUGCAGAUUUCCUGCUUCCUUCAUAGGCUCUCAUUUUUGUGCUGAGUAUUAAUUCCCAUCUGUGUUCAAGAACCGUAAUCAAGCAGGGGCAGUAAUCAGAAUGAUGUGUACAGCAAAAUCAAAGCUUUUUACAUCAAAAUCAAAGCCACACAGUAAAUUAUAGGAAUAUGUGUUAGGGUUUAAUCAAUGACUCUGAUCUCUUAUGUGAUUGAUGCGGAGAGCAUCAAAGAUUUGGUUUAUAAGUGGCCAAGAGGAACAUAUUAUGAAUUUGUCUCAUGAAACUUAGUAUGUUAUGACUUAUUUGUUAAGUAGUAAGAUUUUGAUGUGUGUCUUUAGGCACAUGAGGACCAAAAAAAUUUUUUUUAAUAAAAAAAAAGGAGCUCUUGAUGCCUUUAUGCAGUGGCUUACAGAAUGAUCUGCCCUCCAAAAAGUUUUUUACAGGUGUGUUGAUUCACACAUGGGAAAAUAGCUAAUGUGACUGGAGUAAUGGUUUCCUAACUAGACUCACCACAUGAAUUUCCUACCAUCCAUCUAUCUUCCAUCAUGCUGCUAGAGUAACAUUUCAGAAAUCCAAGUUAAAUUCUAUUACUCCUCUAUUUAAAAUUUUCCAUUGUUGCCCAUCACUGGAAGAUAAAUUUAUAGACUUCUAAGUUUGUCAUUUAAUGCUCUUUGUGAUCUUCUUGGCCUCUUUAUUCAAAUUGAUCUCAUGCUUACAAUCCCAAGUAAAUACACGUGUACACCCAUGUGCACGUGUGGGCACGUGCACGCGUGUGCACACACACACACACACACACACACACACACACCCUGCCCUCUAGCACACUCAUAUGCAUCUACCACGUGCCAUCCUGUGCAUAAUUCUCAGUGCCUUUCCUCUUUGUGAAAUCUUCCUCUCCAUCCUCUAACUGGAUCAAUUUAUAAAGUAUUUUUUUAAAAUAUAUGCUCAUGG
Long non-coding RNA from Neofelis nebulosa (Clouded leopard), 11310 nucleotides. RefSeq lists it as uncharacterized. The record is from RefSeq and is a predicted model, not a curated record. NCBI's taxonomy places the organism in Eukaryota, Metazoa, Chordata, Mammalia, Carnivora, Felidae. The transcript is spliced from 2 exons.